This 854-nucleotide ribosomal RNA is filed under the name uncultured Bacillota bacterium. RNAcentral describes it as "bacterial SSU rRNA". It matches the Rfam family "Bacterial small subunit ribosomal RNA", at positions 70 to 902 of the family's 1533-position model. Lineage: Bacteria; Bacillati; Bacillota. The record is from RNAcentral.
AAAGUCCCCUUCGGGGGGCGAGUAGAGUGGCACACGGGUGAGUAACACGUAGGUAAUCUACCUUUGGAUUGGGAAUAACCACCGGAAACUGUGGCUAAUACCGAAUAAUGCAGCGGCACCUAAUGGUGACAGUUGUUAAAGCGGGGGAUCGCAAGACCUCGCGUCUGAAGAGGAGCCUGCGGCAGAUUAGCUAGUUGGUAAGGUAACGGCUUACCAAGGCGAUGGUCUGUAGCCGGCCUGAGAGGGCGGUCGGCCACACUGACACUGACAUACGGGUCAGACUCCUACGGGAGGCAGCAGUCGGGAAUUUUGGGCAAUGGGCGAAAGCCUGACCCAGCAACGCCGCGUGAAGGAUGAAAUCCCUCGGGAUGUAAACUUCGCAAGAACGGGAAGAAUAAGUAAGAGCUAACAUCUCUUAUGAUGACGGUACUGUUUGUAAGCUCCGGCUAACUCCGUGCCAGCAGCCGCGGUAAUACGGGGGGAGCAAGCGUUGUUCGGAUUUACUGGGCGUAAAGGGCGCGUAGGCGGCACCGCAAGUCGACUGUGAAAUCUCCGGGCUUAACUCGGAAAGGUCAGCCGAUACUGCGGGGCUAGAGUGCAGAAGGGGCAACUGGAAUUCUCGGUGUAGCGGUGAAAUGCGUAGAUAUCGAGAGGAACACCUGCGGCGAAGGCGGGUUGCUGGGCUGACACUGACGCUGAUGCGCGAAAGCUAGGGGAGCGAACGGGAUUAGAUACCCCGGUAGUCCUAGCCUUAAACGAUGAAUGCUUGGUGUCUGGGGUUUUAUAGUCCCCGGGUGCCGUCGCUAACGCUUUAAGCAUUCCGCCUGGGGAGUACGGUCGCAAGACUGAAACUC